Molecule: ribosomal RNA, 174 nt
Filed under: uncultured bacterium
Lineage: Bacteria
Description: partial 16S ribosomal RNA
Rfam family: Bacterial small subunit ribosomal RNA
Source: RNAcentral
UGGAAUUGCUAGUAAUGGCAGGUCAGCAUACUGCCGUGAAUACGUUCCCGGGCCUUGUACACACCGCCCGUCACACCAUGAGAGUUGGGAAUACCCGAAGCCUGUGAGCUAACUGUAAGGAGGCAGCAGUCGAAGGUAGAAUCAAUGAUUGGGGUGAAGUCGUAACAAGGUAAC